Transfer RNA from Operophtera brumata (winter moth), 73 nucleotides. It matches the Rfam family "tRNA". From Rfam's summary of the family: Transfer RNA (tRNA) molecules are approximately 80 nucleotides in length. Their secondary structure includes four short double-helical elements and three loops (D, anti-codon, and T loops). The record is from Rfam. NCBI's taxonomy places the organism in Eukaryota, Metazoa, Arthropoda, Insecta, Lepidoptera, Geometridae.
CGUUCUAUGGCCGAAUUGGUAAAGGUAUCACCGAUCACUGGCGAGGUUGCGGGUUCGAGUCCCGCUGGAACGA